GAGCACGUAGGUGGGUUUGUAAGUCAGAUGUGAAAGCCUUCUGUUCAACGGGAGAAUUGCAUCUGAAACUGCUAAUCUUGAGUAUAGGAGGGGAGAAUGGAACUUCUGGUGGAGCGGUGAAAUGCGUAGAUAUCAGAAGGAACGCCGGCGGCGAAAGCGAUUCUCUGGCCUAUUACUGACACUCAGUGUGCGAAAGCUAGGGGAGCAAACGGGAUAGAUACCCCGUAGCAGCA
This 233-nucleotide ribosomal RNA is filed under the name Candidatus Scalindua marina (nom. nud.). RNAcentral's name for it is "Candidatus Scalindua marina partial 16S ribosomal RNA". It matches the Rfam family "Bacterial small subunit ribosomal RNA", at positions 565 to 801 of the family's 1533-position model. Lineage: Bacteria; Pseudomonadati; Planctomycetota; Candidatus Brocadiia; Candidatus Brocadiales; Candidatus Scalinduaceae. The record is from RNAcentral.